This 306-nucleotide ribosomal RNA is filed under the name Triticum aestivum (bread wheat). RNAcentral's name for it is "partial small subunit ribosomal RNA". Lineage: Eukaryota; Viridiplantae; Streptophyta; Magnoliopsida; Poales; Poaceae. The record is from RNAcentral.
AUGGCCAACCACGGAGUCGCCGCUCUCCUGAUCGCGUCCCUUCUUGUGGCGGUCACCCUCGCCGACGCCAGGAUCACCGUGAACGUGCAGCGCGACAGCAUUAACGGAGGUUAUGCGGCGAACAAGAAGGCGGUGCCGGCGCUGACGUGCAACAAGGUGAGCGCGGUGCAGCAGGGCGAGACCUGCUCCUCACUAGCGGAGGACGCCGGGCUGACCCAGGAGGACUUCCUGGGCUUCAACCCCAACAUCAACUGCGUCAGGAUCUUCGUAGGCCAGUGGGUCUGCCUCGACGCGUCCUCUGCCUAA